UGGGGAAUCUUGGUCAAUGGGCGAAAGCCUGAACCAGCGACGCCGCGUGAGUGAUGAAGGCCUUCGGGUUGUAAAGCUCUGUGGGGCGAGACGAAAGCCUACGUUCUAACAGGACGUAGUUUGACGGUAUCGCCUUAGCAAGCACCGGCUAACUCUGUGCCAGCAGCCGCGGUAAGACAGAGGGUGCAAACGUUGCUCGGAAUCACUGGGCGUAAAGGGCGUGUAGGCGGGAAGGAAAGUCAGAUGUGAAAUCCCUGGGCUCAACCCAGGAACUGCAUUUGAAACUCCCUUUCUUGAGUGUCGGAGAGGAAAGUGGAAUUCCUGGUGUAGAGGUGAAAUUCGUAGAUAUCAGGAGGAACACCGGUGGCGAAGGCGGCUUUCUGGACGACAACUGACGCUGAGACGCGAAAGCGUGGGGAGCAAACAGG
Molecule: ribosomal RNA, 428 nt
Filed under: uncultured bacterium
Lineage: Bacteria
Description: bacterial SSU rRNA
Rfam family: Bacterial small subunit ribosomal RNA
Source: RNAcentral